GAUGAAGAACGUAGCGAAACGCGAUAAGUAAUGUGAAUUGCAGAAUCCAGUGAAUCAUCGAAUCUUUGAACGCACAUUGCGCCCGCCAGCAUUCUGGCGGGCAUGCCUGUUCGAGCGUCAUUUCAACCCUCGACCUCCCCUUGGGGAGGUCGGCGUUGGGGACCGGCAGCACACCGCCGGCCCUGAAAUGGAGAGGCGGCCCGUCCGCGGCGACCUCUGCGCAGUAAUACAGCUCGCACCGGGACCCCGACGCGGCCACGCCGUAAAACACCCAACUUCUGAACGUUGACCUCGAAUCAGGUAGGACUACCCGCUGAACUUAAGCAUAUCAAUAAGCGGAGGA
This 343-nucleotide unclassified non-coding RNA is filed under the name soil metagenome. Its description in RNAcentral is "partial contains 5.8S ribosomal RNA, internal transcribed spacer 2, and large subunit ribosomal RNA". The stretch from base 1 to 120 matches the Rfam family "5.8S ribosomal RNA", at positions 35 to 154 of the family's 154-position model. The record is from RNAcentral.